UCCGCGCUGGACCAUUUCUAAGUCUGUUGAAAAAUAGCAUCAUUGAGGGUGAUAAUCCCGUUCAUGAUAUGGACUACCAGUGCAAUGUGAUACAGCUUCUAAGAGUCGAGUUGUUUGGGAAUGCAGCUCAAAGUGGGUGGUAAAUUCCAUCUAAGGCUAAAUAUAGGUGAGAGACCGAUAGCAUACAAGUACCGUGAGGGAAAGAUGAAAAGAACUUUGGAAAGAGAGUUAACAGUACGUGAAAUUGUUGUAAGAGAAACAAUUAAAGUUAGCCUUGUGCUUGUUAGUUCAGCUCUUUAACUAGGGUGUAUUCUAAUGAUGUCACGGACCAACAUCAGUUUUUGGGUGCUGGAUAAGGGCUCCAGAAAUGUAGCAGUUUUGGCUGUGUUAUAGUCUGGGGUUUGGAUACAGUGCUUGGGACUGAGGAUAUCUGCAGCAAGCCAGUCACAUGGCCGCCCUUUUGAAGGGUUCCCUGCUGAGGAUGUUGGUGUCAAUAGCUUUAAAUGACCCGUCUUGAAACACGGACCAAGGAGUCUAACAUGCUUGCGAGUAUUUGGGUGUUGAAACCCUGAUGCGAAAUUAACGUAAAUGUAAAUGGGAUCCUUUAUUGGUGCACCAUUGACCAGUCCUGAUUAUUUAUAUGAAGGUACUGAGUAAGAGCAAGUAUGUUGGGACCCGAAAGAUGGUGAACUAUGCCUGAAUAGGGUGAAGCCAGAGGAAACUCUGGUGGAAGCUCGUAG
Molecule: ribosomal RNA, 740 nt
Filed under: Phragmidium violaceum
Lineage: Eukaryota; Fungi; Basidiomycota; Pucciniomycetes; Pucciniales; Phragmidiaceae
Description: eukaryotic LSU rRNA
Rfam family: Eukaryotic large subunit ribosomal RNA
Source: RNAcentral